AGGUCUCACCCAGAGGCAGAACCAAAGGAUGAAGAUGAAGAGGGGGCACUGACAGGUCAUCCCAGAAACCCAACCCAUGUUGCACCAUUUUCUGGGGGACUCCCCAAUGUUUUGGGGGACACUCUGGGGAAAGAGCUCAUUGAGGAACCCUCCAUGACAGAACCCCUUCCAGCACCUCGCAU
Long non-coding RNA from Hemicordylus capensis (graceful crag lizard), 182 nucleotides. RefSeq lists it as uncharacterized. The record is from RefSeq and is a predicted model, not a curated record. Lineage: Eukaryota; Metazoa; Chordata; Lepidosauria; Squamata; Cordylidae. The transcript is spliced from 3 exons.